Molecule: ribosomal RNA, 238 nt
Filed under: uncultured bacterium
Lineage: Bacteria
Description: partial 16S ribosomal RNA
Rfam family: Bacterial small subunit ribosomal RNA
Source: RNAcentral
CGGCGGACGGGUGAGUAACGCGUGGGUAACCUGCCUCAUACAGGGGAGUAACAGUUAGAAAUGACUGCUAAUACCGCAUAAGACCACGGUACCGCAUGGUACAGUGGUAAAAACUCCGGUGGUAUGAGAUGGACCCGCGUCUGAUUAGGUAGUUGGUGGGGUAACGGCCUACCAAGCCGACGAUCAGUAGCCGACCUGAGAGGGUGACCGGCCACAUUGGGACUGAGACACGGCCCAG